Molecule: ribosomal RNA, 253 nt
Filed under: uncultured prokaryote
Description: partial 16S ribosomal RNA
Rfam family: Bacterial small subunit ribosomal RNA
Source: RNAcentral
ACGUAGGGGGCGAGCGUUGUCCGGAAUCACUGGGCGUAAAGCGCGUGCAGGCGGCCUGGUAAGUCCCGUGUGAAAGCCUACGGCUCAACUGUAGGAGGUCGCGGGAGACCGCCGGGCUUGAGGGCAGGAGAGGGAAGUAGAAUUCCCGGUGUAGCGGUGAAAUGCGUAGAUAUCGGGAGGAAUGCCAGUGGCGAAGGCGGCUUCCUGGCCUGUAACUGACGCUGAGACGCGAAAGCGUGGGGAGCGAACCGGA